UCUCCGUAGGUGAACCUGCGGAGGGAUCAUUACCGAGUGAGGGCCUCCGGGUCCGACCUCCAACCCCUUUGUUGUACCGACCCUGUUGCCUCGGGGGCGACCCGGCCUUCGGGCGUCGGGGCCCCCGGUGGACCACCCAACCCUGCAUCGUUGCGUCUGAGUCGAAAUAUAAAUCAAUCAAAACUUUCAACAACGGAUCUCUUGGUUCUGGCAUCGAUGAAGAACGCAGC
RNAcentral lists this unclassified non-coding RNA (230 nucleotides) under uncultured fungus. RNAcentral describes it as "sequence contains ITS1, 5.8S rRNA gene". The stretch from base 182 to 230 matches the Rfam family "5.8S ribosomal RNA", at positions 1 to 49 of the family's 154-position model. The record is from RNAcentral. Lineage: Eukaryota; Fungi.